RNAcentral lists this ribosomal RNA (647 nucleotides) under uncultured Planctomycetaceae bacterium. Its description in RNAcentral is "bacterial SSU rRNA". It matches the Rfam family "Bacterial small subunit ribosomal RNA", at positions 8 to 677 of the family's 1533-position model. The record is from RNAcentral. Lineage: Bacteria; Pseudomonadati; Planctomycetota; Planctomycetia; Planctomycetales; Planctomycetaceae.
AGAGUUUGAUCCUGGCUCAGAAUGAACGUUGGCGGCAUGGAUUAGGCAUGCAAGUCGUACGUGAAGGGGAGCUUGCUCCUCCGAUCAGUGGCGAAAGGGAUAGUAACGCGUAGACACCUACUUCUGGACGGGGAUAGCUGCGGGAAACUGCAGGUAAUACCCGAUAAUGACGAGAGUCCAAGGUGUAAUUCCUUCAGAAGACGGAUCUGCGUCCUACCAGAUAGUUGGCGGGGUAACGGCCACCAAGUCUAAGACGGGUAGCGGGUGUGAGAGCAUGACCCGCAUCACUGGGACUGAGACCUGCCCAGACACCUACGGGUGGCUGCAGUCGAGAAUCUUCGUCAAUGGGCGAAAGCCUGACGAGCGAUGCCGCGUGCGGGAUGGAGGCCUUCGGGUUGUAAACCGCUGUCGAAUUGGAGGAAUGCAUAGUGUAGAAUUAUGCUUGACUGAUAGUAGAAGGAAGGACGGGCUAAGUUCGUGCAGCAGCCGCGGUAACACGAACCGUCCAAACGUUAUUCGGAAUCACUGGGCUUAAAGGGUCGUAGGCGGCGUUUUAAGUAAGGUGUGAAAUCCCACGUCUCAACCGUGGCACUGCGCUUUUACUGGAAUGCUUGAGUAAGAUAGAGGUAAGCGGAACUGAUAGUGGA